Molecule: ribosomal RNA, 294 nt
Filed under: uncultured bacterium
Lineage: Bacteria
Description: partial 16S ribosomal RNA
Rfam family: Bacterial small subunit ribosomal RNA
Source: RNAcentral
AACGAACGCUGGCGGCGUGUCUUAAGCAUGCAAGUUGAGCGGCAAGGGGUAGCAAUACCCCCUAGAGCGGCGGACUGGUGAGUAACGCAUGGGUGAUCUGCCCUUGGGAUGGGGAUAGCCCUCCGAAAGGGGGAUUAAUACCGGAUGUGGAUACUUUUUCGCUUGUGAGAGUAUCUAAAGCAGUAAUGCGCUUUAGGAUGGGCUUGCGGCCUAUCAGCUAGUGGUGUGGGUAACGGCCUACCAAGGCGACGACGGGUAGCUGGUCUGAGAGGAUGGUCAGCCGGACUGGGACUG